This 1027-nucleotide long non-coding RNA is filed under the name Elaeis guineensis (African oil palm). RNAcentral describes it as "long non-coding RNA (EGUI_LNC075267)". Lineage: Eukaryota; Viridiplantae; Streptophyta; Magnoliopsida; Arecales; Arecaceae. The record is from RNAcentral.
CAUGUUGAUCAUAUCAACAUGUUUCUAUACUACAUCUAAUGUAUGUAUUAAACAAUAGAUCAGAUCUAUUACCUUGCAAGUUAGACGUUCUAACCUUGCUGAUCUGGGCUUGAGGAUGAUGUUGCAAGCCGCACACGCAUCCGGCCUCUAGGAGUCAUCCACNNNNNNNNNNNNNNNNNNNNCUCCGUUGUUGUGAUGAAGUUCUUAGGACUAUUUAAGUUCAAUAAAGAGAAGAUUUAUCGAUUAGUCAUUAAAACUGUUCACGACCAAAUGAUGGGUUGUUAAUAAGGAUGACAGCUUCUAUCGAGCAUAGGUCGCUGUAGGCCAUAUGGGUUGGUUGUCCUCUUAACCAAGAAGUGUGGAGAUACUUGAAGGAACCAGAUCUAGGGUUUCAGGAUUAGAUCUUGAAAAAGAGGGUUAGAUCUUGAAACUUUUUCAAGAUCAUACAGCGGAAGACUAAAAUAAAUCAAAAUUUAUUUUUUAAGAUCAGAAAAUCCCUAGAUCUAAGAUCCUAUUACAUGAUUAUUACAUGGCAUUAAAUUAAAAAUUAAAAUAUAUAAAUAUAGCAUGAACUACAUGUUGAUCAUAUCAACAUGUUUCUAUACUACAUCUAAUGUAUGUAUUAAACAAUAGAUCAGAUCUAUUACCUUGCAAGUUAGACAUUCUAACCUUGCUGAUCUGGGCUUGAGGAUGAUGUUGCAAGCCGCACACGCGUCUGGCCUCUAGGAGUCGUCCACACGAGCCGACGAAUCUCGAUCAGAAGUCCUGCUUCAGAAAAUCAGCACAGUAUGCUAGUACUGCACUGAUCCUUCUUUGAUGGUUGAUCAGGUGCCUCCUUCUUCUUGAUUUGGACUCUUCCAAAGAUGGAAAGUAGAAGGAGGAGUUUCAGAUCUGAGACACUCUCAGGAAACUCAAGAUGGAGGGAGGAAAGAUGUGAAAACAAAAACUCAAGAAGAAGACCCUCUUCUUCUUCACGUUUUUCUCUCUAGACACCUAAAUUUGCAUCUUUUAUAUAUCCAUGACCCAA